RNAcentral lists this ribosomal RNA (237 nucleotides) under Glomeromycotina sp. Its description in RNAcentral is "partial small subunit ribosomal RNA". The stretch from base 40 to 237 matches the Rfam family "Eukaryotic small subunit ribosomal RNA", at positions 686 to 885 of the family's 1831-position model. Lineage: Eukaryota; Fungi; Glomeromycota. The record is from RNAcentral.
GGGUCAGUAGGUUGGUCGUGCCACCGGUACGUACUGGUCUCACUGAUUCCUCCUUCCUGAAGAACCGGAAUGCCAUUAAUUUGGUGUUGCGGGGAAACAGGACUGUUACUUUGAAAAAAUUAGAGUGUUUAAAGCAAGCUAACGCUUGAAUACAUUAGCAUGGAAUAAUGAAAUAGGACGAUCGAUCCUAUUUUGUUGGUUUCUAGGAUUGACGUAAUGGUUAAUAGGGAUAUUGGG